This 404-nucleotide ribosomal RNA is filed under the name Verrucomicrobiota bacterium. RNAcentral's name for it is "Verrucomicrobia bacterium partial 16S ribosomal RNA". It matches the Rfam family "Bacterial small subunit ribosomal RNA", at positions 355 to 776 of the family's 1533-position model. The record is from RNAcentral. Lineage: Bacteria; Pseudomonadati; Verrucomicrobiota.
UGGGGAAUAUUGCACAAUGGGCGCAAGCCUGAUGCAGCAACGCCGCGUGAACGAUGAAGGUCUUCGGAUCGUAAAGUUCUGUUGCAGGGGAAGAUAAUGACGGUACCCUGUGAGGAAGCCCCGGCUAACUACGUGCCAGCAGCCGCGGUAAUACGUAGGGGGCUAGCGUUGUCCGGAAUUAUUGGGCGUAAAGGGCUUGUAGGCGGUUGGCCGCGUCUGCCGUGAAAUCCUCUGGCUUAACUGGGGGCGUGCGGUGGGUACGGGUUGACUUGAGUGCGGUAGGGGAGACUGGAAUUCCUGGUGUAGCGGUGGAAUGCGCAGAUAUCAGGAGGAACACCGGUGGCGAAGGCGGGUCUCUGGGCCGUUACUGACGCUGAGGAGCGAAAGCGUGGGGAGCGAACAGG